This is a non-coding RNA of Phasianus colchicus (ring-necked pheasant), 2035 nucleotides long. The record is from RefSeq and is a predicted model, not a curated record. Lineage: Eukaryota; Metazoa; Chordata; Aves; Galliformes; Phasianidae.
UCUGCCAAGAAGGAAAUAAGGAUAAUUGUCAUAGGCAACUCCCUUCUGAGGGGAACAGAGGGCCCCAUAUGUCAUCCAGGUCCUACCUAUCCUAUCCAGGCCUUUCGUUGCCAGCUGCUGCAGGAUGGGCUUGCGUGCAUGGAUGCCUUGGGGAGAUGGCGUCAGCCUGAUGUGACCGGUUACCGUGUUGAGUAAACCUCUCCUACAGUGCUCUGCCGUGCGCCCUCACAGUGCUUGGGGCUCAGAGGAGUUACUCAGCGCCUGUCUGCACUGCAGAGUAAAGUCCUCCGGUGAAUCAGAUGUAAACUCACGUUUCUUAAGCAUCUGAGGUGAAAUGCUUGGAAAAUUUACCUUGGAAAAGGACCAGGCUCGGAGGCCUCCAGCAUAUUUUGCUGUAGCUGCAAUAUCUCAGGACACCACCGAGUCAAAGGUAAUAUUAUCACUGAAUGCAUUGGGAUGGAGCAUCUUGUCCUUGAAUCUCUCUGGAGCCCACCUGUGACAUGACUCAUGGCCUUGAUGACGGGCUUAGGAUGACUGAGCCUCAUCAGGGCCCUCUGAUUAAGCAGCCACCAGCACUUAUGUCGUGCCCAGACUUGCAGGAACCCCAAAUAUAGAAAAUGUGGUUGGACCAAGUGAAACUUUUGCUGAAUAAAGCUUUCCAUGGAAGAGAACAACCCUCAUCUUCCAGACUGCAGCGAGAACAGUAAUUGUUAAAGUUAUAUUCCCAGCCCCACCUGGUCCCUAAUUUAUCUGAAAAGGAAGAUAGCCUGAGCACUUCCAGCAUGAGUGCUAAUGUAAACACCCUCACUGGCUGCUUUAUUUACACACGCUUGCACCAAGAGCUCGGUUUAUAAAACGCCAUCUCCUCCUCAACUGUGUGAUGCUUCUAAGCUGCAUCCAUUAGGAGGGAAAACAAGAGGCAGCUCAGGACUUGGUUCCCCACUGAAGGAGGUUUGCAAACAGCACCCACUAGUGCCCUGUUCUCGGAGGCUGUGCCCCCAGCCCUGCUUCAGCCCCGGGUCCCAUGUGUGGCAAGGACAGAGAUGCGCACAUCUGCCUGGCUGCAGAGAGCUGCAUCCUUUGGCGGAUGGGAAAUAAUCGACACUUUGCUCUGCUGGCAGCCAGCACCCCACAGAUGGUUGGGUUUGUCAUUUUGCAUCCCCUCGGAGGUUCUAAUUUAAAAUUUAUACUAACAUAUGCCCAGAGACCUGCUGGCCUUCCCCCAGCAUCGCCAAUGCUUAUUCCCUGCUGCCCUGUGCAGUGAUGGGUGAGGAAUGAGUGACAUUUCUGCUUCUGCCACAGGUCUCUCGGCCUCCUGCAGUGGGAGAACAGAACCUUUUUGUUCCUUCCCCUCUGCAUUUUUUAUUAUCUUUAUUUUUUAGCUCAGGCAGCUGGAGACCAGGGUGCUUCCAGUACAGUUAUUUAGCCACAUGACUCCCAUUAACGUCAAUGACAAUUGCACAGCCAAAACUGUGCACAUCCUGUUGAAGAUUUACCCCCGGGGUUAACACUUUACAAAGACACUCUCCUCCCCCUUACAGCUUUUGCUGCUGUCAUUUCAUGGGGAGAAAACUGGAAGUCCCUGCACAAAAGGAACAAGCACUCACACAGGGAGUAGAAAUUUGCACCAGGCAAGUGUACUGUGCCCCAGGAGCUCCCCCUCUGGAAUGCAGUGCCUGCUGGAGGAGUUAUUUGUCCCCCUGACACCAACCAUAAAUUUGGCGACUGGGAGGAGCUAUUAUGCUAGCAUGACCCCUGGUAGAACACAGCCUAUUAUUUGCGCAUCUAGCCCAGAACUCCCCCUGGAGAUCCAAUAAAUUUUGGGGAAAAGCAGCCUGUCCUGACCUAAGGGCUGCGGGAAGCAGUUUUGGUGAUUAAUGACCCUCACAACAUGAGCACACACAUGCUCCUGGUCUGAACCUGCCCACUUUGACGCCUCACUGCACCUCUUCAGCCGAGGGCUUCUUUCCCUGGGGUCGCUCUCAGCCCCUAUCACCUCCUUGUCACCCCCCAGGCCAGGGGAGCAAAUUGAAUU